ACUACCGUAUGUUACUGCUAGACUGUCCCAAACGGCCUUAGCCGUCUGAUGUUGGGCGAAGUUCAUCACUAGUUUCCCUUCCAUAUUCUGUAGUAACCAAGAAAAAACAGCCAGAUCUGUUUCUUCCCAUUUGUAGUAAUUCGGAUCUGCAGGUUUUGGUGGUGGUGGUUGUCCGGUGAUGUGUCCGGACCUGCCCCUGCUGCCUAUGGCUACCUUCAUGAGGCGUGCCCAUAGGGGAUAAUUGUUGCCAUGUAAUUUGAAUCCGAGCACGACGUUUUCGGAGUUUCGCAUCAGAUUGGCUAUUUGUUGGGAAGGAAAAUGGAGGAAAAAAAAACGGCUUGGCUGCCUUGAUUUGGGUUGAGGUAAAAAAGGAACAAUGAGGAAAA
Long non-coding RNA from Salvia miltiorrhiza (redroot sage), 386 nucleotides. RefSeq lists it as uncharacterized. The transcript has 2 exons. The record is from RefSeq and is a predicted model, not a curated record. Lineage: Eukaryota; Viridiplantae; Streptophyta; Magnoliopsida; Lamiales; Lamiaceae.